GACGAACGCUGGCGGCGUGCUUAACACAUGCAAGUCGAACGGAAAGGCCCUGCUUGCAGGGUACUCGAGUGGCGAACGGGUGAGUAACACGUGGGUGAUCUGCCCUGCACUUCGGGAUAAGCCUGGGAAACUGGGUCUAAUACCGGAUAGGAGCCAUUUUAGUGGUGAUGGUUGGAAAGUUUUUUCGGUGUAGGAUGAGCUCGCGGCCUAUCAGCUUGUUGGUGGGGUAAUGGCCUACCAAGGCGGCGACGGGUAGCCGGCCUGAGAGGGUGGACGGCCACAUUGGGACUGAGAUACGGCCCAGACUCCUACGGGAGGCAGCAGUGGGGAAUAUUGCACAAUGGGCGCAAGCCUGAUGCAGCGACGCCGCGUGGGGGAUGACGGCCUUCGGGUUGUAAACUCCUUUCGCUAGGGACGAAGCUUUUUGUGACGGUACCUAGAUAAGAAGCACCGGCUAACUACGUG
Molecule: ribosomal RNA, 465 nt
Filed under: uncultured bacterium
Lineage: Bacteria
Description: partial 16S ribosomal RNA
Rfam family: Bacterial small subunit ribosomal RNA
Source: RNAcentral